GACGAACGCUGGCGGCGUGCUUAACACAUGCAAGUCGAACGCUGAAGCUCAGCUUUUGUUGGGUGGAUGAGUGGCGAACGGGUGAGUAACACGUGAGUAACCUGCCCCCUUCUUUGGGAUAACGCCCGGAAACGGGUGCUAAUACUGGAUAUUCACUGGUCUUCGCAUGGGGGUUGGUGGAAAGGGUUUUUCUGGGGGGGGAUGGGCUCGCGGCCUAUCAGCUUGUUGGUGGGGUGAUGGCCUACCAAGGCUUUGACGGGUAGCCGGCCUGAGAGGUUGACCGGUCACAUUGGGACUGAGAUACGGCCCAGACUCCUACGGGAGGCAGCAGUGGGGAAUAUUGCACAAUGGGCGCAAGCCUGAUGCAGCGACGCCGCGUGAGGGAUGGAGGCCUUCGGGUUGUGAACCUCUUUCGCUCAUGGUCAAGCCGCAACAAUGGUUGUGGUGAGGGUAGUGGGUAAAGAAGCGCCGGCUAACUACGUG
This 483-nucleotide ribosomal RNA is filed under the name uncultured bacterium. Its description in RNAcentral is "partial 16S ribosomal RNA". It matches the Rfam family "Bacterial small subunit ribosomal RNA", at positions 28 to 507 of the family's 1533-position model. The record is from RNAcentral.